CUACGGGUGGCUCCAGUGGGGAAUAUUGGACAAUGGGGGAAACCCUGAUCCAGCAAUGCCGCGUGUGUGAAGAAGGCCUGCGGGUUGUAAAGCACUUUCGGUUGGGAGGACUGCUUCUAGCACUAAUAUUGUUGGAAGUUGACGUUACCUUCAGAAGAAGCACCGGCUAACUCCGUGCCAGCAGCCGCGGUUAUACGGAGGGUGCAAGCGGUAAUCGGAAUUACUGGGCGUAAAGCGCGCGUAGGCGGCUAGAUCAGUCGGGUGUGAAAGGCCCGGGCUUAACCUGGGAACUGCAUCCGAUACUGUCUAGCUUGAGUACAGGAGAGGAGAGUGGAAUUCCACAUGUAGCGGUGAAAUGCGUAGAUAUGUGGAGGAACACCAAUGGCGAAGGCAGCUCUCUGGCCUGAUACUGACGCUGAGGUGCGAAAGCGUGGGGAGCAAACAGGAUUAGAUACCCGGGUAGUC
This 465-nucleotide ribosomal RNA is filed under the name uncultured bacterium. RNAcentral's name for it is "partial 16S ribosomal RNA". It matches the Rfam family "Bacterial small subunit ribosomal RNA", at positions 339 to 795 of the family's 1533-position model. The record is from RNAcentral.